GAUGAAGAACGUAGUGAAUUGCGAUAAGUAAUGUGAAUUGCAGAAUUCAGUGAAUCAUCGAAUCUUUGAACGCACAUUGCGCCCCCUGGUAUUCCGGGGGGCAUGCCUGUCCGAGCGUCAUUGCUGCCCUCAAGCACGGCUUGUGUGUUGGGCCUCCGUCCUCCUCCCGGGGGACGGGCCCGAAAGGCAGCGGCGGCACCGCGUCCGGUCCUCGAGCGUAUGGGGCUUCGUCACCCGCUCUUGUAGGCCCGGCCGGCGCUUGCCGACACAUCAAUCUUUUUUCCAGGUUGACCUCGGAUCAGGUAGGGAUACCCGCUGAACUUAAGCAUAUCAAUAAGCGGAGGA
RNAcentral lists this unclassified non-coding RNA (345 nucleotides) under soil metagenome. RNAcentral's name for it is "partial contains 5.8S ribosomal RNA, internal transcribed spacer 2, and large subunit ribosomal RNA". The stretch from base 1 to 120 matches the Rfam family "5.8S ribosomal RNA", at positions 35 to 154 of the family's 154-position model. The record is from RNAcentral.